Molecule: ribosomal RNA, 465 nt
Filed under: uncultured bacterium
Lineage: Bacteria
Description: partial 16S ribosomal RNA
Rfam family: Bacterial small subunit ribosomal RNA
Source: RNAcentral
GACGAACGCUGGCGGCGUGCUUAACACAUGCAAGUCGAACGGAAAGGCCCUGCUUGCCGGGUACUCGAGUGGCGAACGGGUGAGUAACACGUGGGUGAUCUGCCCUGCACUUCGGGAUAAGCCUGGGAAACUGGGUCUAAUACCGGAUAGGAGCCAUUUUUAGUGUGAUGGUUGGAAAGUUUUUUCGGUGUAGGAUGAGCUCGCGGCCUAUCAGCUUGUUGGUGGGGUAAUGGCCUACCAAGGCGGCGACGGGUAGCCGGCCUGAGAGGGUGGACGGCCACAUUGGGACUGGGAUACGGCCCAGACUCCUACGGGAGGCAGCAGUGGGGAAUAUUGCACAAGGGGCGCAAGCCUGAUGCAGCGACGCCGCGUGGGGGAUGACGGCCUUCGGGUUGUAAACUCCUUUCGCUAGGGACGAAGCUUUUUGUGACGGUACCUAGAGAAGAAGCACCGGCUAACUACGUG